CAGCAGCCGCGGUAACACGGAGGGUGCAAGCGUUAAUCGGAAUUACUGGGCGUAAAGCGUGCGUAGGCGGUUUGGCAAGUCUUGUGUGAAAUCUUCGGGCUCAACCCGAAGCCUGCACGAGAAACUACCGGGCUUGAGUUCGGGAGAGGUGAGUGGAAUUCCCAGUGUAGAGGUGAAAUUCGUAGAUAUUGGGAAGAACACCAGUGGCGAAGGCGGCUCACUGGACCGACACCGACGCUGAGGCGCGAAAGCGUGGGGAGCAAACAGGAUUAGAUACCCCCGUAGUCCCUGUCUCUUAUAC
Molecule: ribosomal RNA, 301 nt
Filed under: uncultured bacterium
Lineage: Bacteria
Description: partial 16S ribosomal RNA
Rfam family: Bacterial small subunit ribosomal RNA
Source: RNAcentral